Molecule: ribosomal RNA, 1195 nt
Filed under: Escherichia coli
Lineage: Bacteria; Pseudomonadati; Pseudomonadota; Gammaproteobacteria; Enterobacterales; Enterobacteriaceae
Also listed under: 1 other name
Description: partial 23S ribosomal RNA
Rfam family: Bacterial large subunit ribosomal RNA
Source: RNAcentral
GGUUAAGCGACUAAGCGUACACGGUGGAUGCCCUGGCAGUCAGAGGCGAUGAAGGACGUGCUAAUCUGCGAUAAGCGUCGGUGAGGUGAUAUGAACCGUUAUAACCGGCGAUUUCCGAAUGGGGAAACCCAGUGUGUUUCGACACACUAUCAUUAACUGAAUCCAUAGGUUAAUGAGGCGAACCGGGGGAACUGAAACAUCUAAGUACCCCGAGGAAAAGAAAUCAACCGAGAUUCCCCCAGUAGCGGCGAGCGAACGGGGAGGAGCCCAGAGCCUGAAUCAGUGUGUGUGUUAGUGGAAGCGUCUGGAAAGGCGCGCGAUACAGGGUGACAGCCCCGUACACAAAAAUGCACAUACUGUGAGCUCGAUGAGUAGGGCGGGACACGUGGUAUCCUGUCUGAAUAUGGGGGGACCAUCCUCCAAGGCUAAAUACUCCUGACUGACCGAUAGUGAACCAGUACCGUGAGGGAAAGGCGAAAAGAACCCCGGCGAGGGGAGUGAAAAAGAACCUGAAACCGUGUACGUACAAGCAGUGGGAGCCUCUUAAUGGGGUGACUGCGUACCUUUUGUAUAAUGGGUCAGCGACUUAUAUUCUGUAGCAAGGUUAACCGAAUAGGGGAGCCGAAGGGAAACCGAGUCUUAACUGGGCGUUAAGUUGCAGGGUAUAGACCCGAAACCCGGUGAUCUAGCCAUGGGCAGGUUGAAGGUUGGGUAACACUAACUGGAGGACCGAACCGACUAAUGUUGAAAAAUUAGCGGAUGACUUGUGGCUGGGGGUGAAAGGCCAAUCAAACCGGGAGAUAGCUGGUUCUCCCCGAAAGCUAUUUAGGUAGCGCCUCGUGAAUUCAUCUCCGGGGGUAGAGCACUGUUUCGGCAAGGGGGUCAUCCCGACUUACCAACCCGAUGCAAACUGCGAAUACCGGAGAAUGUUAUCACGGGAGACACACGGCGGGUGCUAACGUCCGUCGUGAAGAGGGAAACAACCCAGACCGCCAGCUAAGGUCCCAAAGUCAUGGUUAAGUGGGAAACGAUGUGGGAAGGCCCAGACAGCCAGGAUGUUGGCUUAGAAGCAGCCAUCAUUUAAAGAAAGCGUAAUAGCUCACUGGUCGAGUCGGCCUGCGCGGAAGAUGUAACGGGGCUAAACCAUGCACCGAAGCUGCGGCAGCGACACUAUGUGUUGUUGGGUAGGGGAGCG